AUUGAACGCUGGCGGCAGGCUUAACACAUGCAAGUCGAGCGGAGAUGAGGUGCUUGCACCUUAUCUUAGCGGCGGACGGGUGAGUAAUGCUUAGGAAUCUGCCUAUUAGUGGGGGACAACAUUCCGAAAGGAAUGCUAAUACCGCAUACGUCCUACGGGAGAAAGCAGGGGACCUUCGGACCUUGCGCUAAUAGAUGAGCCUAAGUCGGAUUAGCUAGUUGGUGGGGUAAAGGCCUACCAAGGCGACGAUCUGUAGCGGGUCUGAGAGGAUGGUCCGCCACACUGGGACUGAGAGACGGCCCAGACUCCUACGGGAGGUAGCAGUGGGGAAUAUUGGACAAUGGGGGGAACCCUGAUCCAGCCAUGCCGCGUGUGUGAAGAAGGCCUUAUGGUUGUAAAGCACUUUAAGCGAGGAGGAGGCUACUGAGACUAAUACUCUUGGAUAGUGGACGUUACUCGCAGAAUAAGCACCGGCUAACUCUGUGCCAGCCGCCGCGGUAA
RNAcentral lists this ribosomal RNA (501 nucleotides) under uncultured bacterium. Its description in RNAcentral is "partial 16S ribosomal RNA". It matches the Rfam family "Bacterial small subunit ribosomal RNA", at positions 30 to 523 of the family's 1533-position model. The record is from RNAcentral.